Long non-coding RNA from Photinus pyralis (common eastern firefly), 698 nucleotides. RefSeq lists it as uncharacterized. The record is from RefSeq and is a predicted model, not a curated record. Lineage: Eukaryota; Metazoa; Arthropoda; Insecta; Coleoptera; Lampyridae. The transcript is spliced from 3 exons.
AAUUAAAUGUUUAAUGGUAUGGUGUUUUAACAUAUGGGAAUAAACAAGUGGUGCUAUUGAUAAAUGAUAAGGUUGCAGUAAACAACAUAUGGGUGGUCACAAUCGUUUGUACUUGCUCCAAGGUUACAUACAAGCUGACUACAAUCGCAAAGGAAUGCGGCGGAGAUAAUCCAGUCCGGUUCACACCAGCCUGAACUACUUCAACCCUCCAGGUCGUUUUAAUACGAGCCGGUUUUCACCAACCAAUAUUAAAACCACCGAUUUCUGCAGAACCUUGUAAACAAAAAUAGAAACGAGAAGUGACGUUUGGGAGCUUAGUACAAUCGUGAAGCGAAUGAGGAUCAGCCCGUCUCCUCUGGUGAAUUCGCCUUUUAUUUCCACCUAGACCUGGAGGUGGAAUUGGAAGGGCUGCCUGCGUACAUAGAAUGUGCGGUAACUGAUAUGGGGAUUAAACACUAGCACCACCUGUUGGUCCCUUACAAGGAUUUAUAACGCUCAAUAAACUGUACCAUGAACUCUUUUUCUUUCUUUGACAUUAUUAUCACAAACAAAACACAAAAUAACGUACAACACAGUCUAUUAAAGCCACGUGCACGUCGGAACAACAAUUCUGUUUACUAUUACUCACCCUCUACGCAUGCGUCGAAUUGGUGUGUCGUUUACACGUUCAUGCAUUUGCACCAACCACAUAAAAAUUA